UGAACGCUGGCGGCGUGCCUAAUACAUGCACGUCGAGCGAACAGACGCGGAGCUUGCUCCUCUGACGUUAGCGGCGGACGGGUGAGUAACACGUGGAUAACCUACCUAUAAGACUGGGAUAACUUCGGGAAACCGGAGCUAAUACCGGAUAAUAUAUUGAACCGCAUGGUUCAAUAGUGAAAGACGGUUUUGCUGUCACUUAUAGAUGGAUCCGCGCCGCAUUAGCUAGUUGGUAAGGUAACGGCUUACCAAGGCAACGAUGCGUAGCCGACCUGAGAGGGUGAUCGGCCCCACUGGAACUGAGACACGGUCCAGACUCCUACGGGAGGCAGCAGUAGGGAAUAUUCCGCAAUGGGCGAAAGCCUGACGGAGCAACGCCGCGUGAGUGAUGAAGGUCUUCGGAUCGUAAAACUCUGUUAUUAGGGAAGAACAAAUGUGUAAGUAACUAUGCACGUCUUGACGGUACCUAAUCAGAAAGCCACGGCUAACUACGUG
RNAcentral lists this ribosomal RNA (495 nucleotides) under uncultured bacterium. RNAcentral's name for it is "partial 16S ribosomal RNA". It matches the Rfam family "Bacterial small subunit ribosomal RNA", at positions 30 to 507 of the family's 1533-position model. The record is from RNAcentral.